AUACGAAGGUCCCAAGCGUUAUUCGGAAUCACUGGGCGUAAAGAGUACGUAGGCGGUUUGGUAAGUCAGGUGUGAAAUCCCGAAGCUCAACUUCGGAACUGCAUCCGAUACUGCCAGACUUGAGUAAUGGAGAGGCAGGUGGAAUUCUCGGUGUAGCAGUGAAAUGCGUGGAUAUCGAGAGGAAGACCAAUGGCGAAGGCAGCCUGCUGGACAUUGACUGACGCUGAGGUACGAAGGCUAGGGGAGCGAAAGGGAUUAGAAACCCCGGUAGUCC
Molecule: ribosomal RNA, 274 nt
Filed under: uncultured bacterium
Lineage: Bacteria
Description: partial 16S ribosomal RNA
Rfam family: Bacterial small subunit ribosomal RNA
Source: RNAcentral